This 405-nucleotide ribosomal RNA is filed under the name uncultured bacterium. Its description in RNAcentral is "partial 16S ribosomal RNA". It matches the Rfam family "Bacterial small subunit ribosomal RNA", at positions 28 to 526 of the family's 1533-position model. The record is from RNAcentral.
GACGAACGCUGGCGGCGUGCUUAACACAUGCAAGUCGAGCGGAGCGGCGAAAGGGUGAGUAACGCGUGAGUAACUGCCCCCCUCCCUGGGAUAACAGUUGGAAACGGCUGCUAAUACCGGAUAGUUGGGGAUGACUCGAGGCCUAUCAGCUUGUUGGUGGGGUGAUGGCCUAGCUAGGCGGUGGCGGGUAGCCGGCCUGAGAGAGUGACCGGCCACAUUGGGCUGAGAUACGGCCCAGACUGCUACGGGAGGCAGCAGUUGGGGAUAUUGGACAAUGGGCGAAAGCCUGAUGCAUCUACGCCGCGUGGGGGAUGAAGGCUUUCGGGUUGUAAACCUCUCCUUGCAAUGCUCGGGUAGGUGGAGAAGAAGCGCCGGCUAACUACGUGCCAGCAGCCGCGGUAAUUC